RNAcentral lists this ribosomal RNA (406 nucleotides) under uncultured bacterium. Its description in RNAcentral is "partial 16S ribosomal RNA". It matches the Rfam family "Bacterial small subunit ribosomal RNA", at positions 30 to 526 of the family's 1533-position model. The record is from RNAcentral.
AUUGAACGCUGGCGGCAGGCCUAACACAUGCAAGUCGAACGAGAGGCGGACGGGCGGGCAGUGUCUGGGAAACUGCCUGAUGUAGGCGGCUGACUGCUGGAAACCGUAGCUAAUACCGCAUACCAUCGUAUGUGCCGAGAUGGGAUGAGAUAGUCGGUGGGGAAAAGGCUCCACGAGGCGACGAUGCCUCGCUGGCCUGAGAGGGUGACCGGCCACACUGGAACUGAGACACGGUCCAGACUCCUACGGGAGGCAGCAGUGGGGAAUCUUGCACAAUGGGCGAAAGCCUGAUGCAGCAAUGCCGCGUUGAUGAAGAAGGCUUUCGGGUUGUAAAGUACUUUUGGCGGAGAAGCGUUACCCAAAGAGAAAGCAACGGCUAACUCCGUGCCAGCAGCCGCGGUAAUUC